This 765-nucleotide ribosomal RNA is filed under the name uncultured Streptococcus sp. Its description in RNAcentral is "bacterial SSU rRNA". It matches the Rfam family "Bacterial small subunit ribosomal RNA", at positions 28 to 776 of the family's 1533-position model. Lineage: Bacteria; Bacillati; Bacillota; Bacilli; Lactobacillales; Streptococcaceae. The record is from RNAcentral.
GACGAACGCUGGCGGCGUGCCUAAUACAUGCAAGUAGAACGCUAAAGCUUGGUGCUUGCACCGAGCGGAUGAGUUGCGAACGGGUGAGUAACGCGUAGGUAACCUGCCUGGUAGCGGGGGAUAACUAUUGGAAACGAUAGCUAAUACCGCAUAAAAUGGAUUAUCGCAUGAUAAUUCAUUGAAAGGUGCAAAUGCAUCACUACCAGAUGGACCUGCGUUGUAUUAGCUAGUUGGUGGGGUAACGGCUCACCAAGGCAACGAUACAUAGCCGACCUGAGAGGGUGAUCGGCCACACUGGGACUGAGACACGGCCCAGACUCCUACGGGAGGCAGCAGUAGGGAAUCUUCGGCAAUGGACGGAAGUCUGACCGAGCAACGCCGCGUGAGUGAAGAAGGUUUUCGGAUCGUAAAGCUCUGUUGUAAGAGAAGAACGAGUGUGAGAGUGGAAAGUUCACACUGUGACGGUAUCUUACCAGAAAGGGACGGCUAACUACGUGCCAGCAGCCGCGGUAAUACGUAGGUCCCGAGCGUUGUCCGGAUUUAUUGGGCGUAAAGCGAGCGCAGGCGGUUAGAUAAGUCUGAAGUUAAAGGCUGUGGCUUAACCAUAGUACGCUUUGGAAACUGUUUAACUUGAGUGCAAGAGGGGAGAGUGGAAUUCCAUGUGUAGCGGUGAAAUGCGUAGAUAUAUGGAGGAACACCGGUGGCGAAAGCGGCUCUCUGGCUUGUAACUGACGCUGAGGCUCGAAAGCGUGGGGAGCAAACAGG